Molecule: ribosomal RNA, 1919 nt
Filed under: Triticum aestivum (bread wheat)
Lineage: Eukaryota; Viridiplantae; Streptophyta; Magnoliopsida; Poales; Poaceae
Description: partial small subunit ribosomal RNA
Source: RNAcentral
GCGGGACCCCGGUGACGACGCGCAGCUGAUUCCUUUCCUUCCCCGAGGGAGCGGCAACGGCCGACCCAAACGAACCCCGCGUUGGGGCGCGAGAUUAGACAAAGCAAACCCGGACCAUAAGCUACACCAGAACGAACAUAACCCCAGAAUGGACACGCACUAGGUGCUCGCUCUCGGCUCUUCCCUUCUCUCUUCCACCGGUACGGUGCCUAACCCCUCCUCCUUUCUCUCCCCCAGAUGCGAACACCCCGCCGCCUCCUCCUCAUAACCCGCCCGACCGCCGUGCCGCCUCCUCUCGCGUUCCUUCCGGGUCCCUCCCCCCUCCAACCGAGCCUGAUUUCUCCGUUGUUGGUCGGCCUGGGGAGGAGACUCCGCCGAGGUUGGGUGGGAUUUCUCGGUUUGUAUUUGAGCCGGCGGUGCGUUGAUGUUUGAUGCUGCUGCCCGAUGGAGGGGGUAGGGAGAGAGCACGAUAGCUCCGUGGCGCUGCCCGUGGAGGAUUUCGGCGCCGCCAAGGAUACAACCAGCGUGAGCACAAAGCCUACAAGAAGGUAUCCGCUCGCGUCAUGGGUUGCCAUAUUGGCCCUGGCCACCCUUGUAGGUGUAUACAUAUUCUCCUUAUCUCUGAAGCAAAAUGGGAUGCUUUUCGGGCUCAGGCAGACCAACAUGAUAGAGAAAGAACGGGAGCAACCUUGCCACCACCCCGGAAUUCCAGAGACCGAGAUCCCUUUGGUGCACUUCCCCACACCCAAUACUUAUAGUAGGAAAGAAUGUGCAUGCACACCAGUUAGAUUCUUUGCUAUCUUGUCGAUGCAGAGGUCGGGAAGUGGAUGGUUUGAAACCUUGUUGAAUAGCCACGAGAAUAUUAGCUCCAAUGGAGAGAUUUUCUCUGUCAAAGACAGGCGUAGCAAUGUCACGGCCAUCACACAAACACUCGAUAAAUUGUACAAUCUCGACUGGGUCAGCAGUGCCGCUAAAAAUGAGUGCACGGCUGCUGUGGGGUUGAAAUGGAUGCUCAAUCAGGGUCUGAUGAAACAUCAUCAAGAGAUAGCUGAAUAUUUCAACCGAAGGGGUGUGUCUUUAAUUUUCCUUUUAAGAAGAAACCUUCUGCAGCGAUAUGUCUCCAUAUUGGCAAACGAUUAUGAUAGAAAUACGAAGCAACUAAGUGGAACUCACAAAGCUCAUGUGCAUCACAGAGGCCAGGCUGAUGUUCUUGCUCAGUAUAAGCCAACAAUAGACACAAAAUCGUUGAUUGCUGAACUAAAGAGGUCUGAUAAGUUGGCAGCUGAUGGUUUAGUGAGUUUCAAGAAGAUCCGGAGUAUUGUUCUGUACUACGAGGAUGUGGUCAGCAAUCGCACUAAGCUCACAGAUGUGCUGGAUUUUCUGAAAUUGCCAAAGAUGAAGCUAUCCAGUCGGCAUGUGAAAAUCCAUACUAAACGAUUGCGUGAUCAUAUUGAUAAUUGGACUGAUGUUUCUAAUACUUUGAAUGGGACUCAAUACGAGAGCUUCUUGAACGGCCGAAGAUGACCAGAUUAGCUAGGUGUAAAUAAUGUUGUAGUGAGUUUCAUUCUUUUGGCCCCUUCUUUCGCCCCUGCCAUAGCUAGCAGAGUAAGCCAAAGUUGGCACUUGUGUCCAUUAUGUGCUAAUCCAAAGGGCUCAUUUGGUUUCCAUUUGACGUCCUAACAUAUAUAUAAAUUAGCUGAUUAAAUUAAUAGCUACCAUACAAAGUUUUUUAAUUUAGAUAAAAGGCUUUUUUUGCUCAGUUUAAGCUUGUAGUCUCCAGGACAUGGAUCGCAAAGUAGAGCAUACAAAGUUAUGAUCAUCUUACACCAAAAACCUCUUCCUUAGAUCAGAGUAUAUAAAUGGUUGAUGAUUACAUUUUGUUUAGGACUAUUCAUUAUUACUGUAUGACAAUGUUUAGG